GCUGGCCCUGGGUCUCUCCAGGGAAUUUUAAACUUUAAACAUCACAACUUAAAUCACAAACUAGCUCAUCUCACCAUCCUUCUCUUGGCCAAGGGUCAUUGCCAGACUUCCAGACAUCCCUAGAGAUAAGCAUAGAGUGAUCCCUGUCCAGUUGAAAGAUAGCCUUUCCUUACACAGUUGCACAGGGAAUGCUCAGAAACUAUCAGUUCCUUUCCCUUUCUGUUUUGCAACAAGACUUUGGCUUCAACCUGGUCCUUUGUUUUCUACAGCUCAGGGGAGACUGUCACCAGUGUGACCAGCUUGGCCCCUCUGCAGCCCAAGAAGGGCAAGAGGCGGAAGGAGAAGGCAGAUGUUCCUCCUGCAGUCCCUGCCAAAGUGCCAAUAGCCACCACGUUCCACAAACCAAAGCUGUUGAAACCACAGAGGAAAGUCGCCCUGCCAAAGAUUGCUGAGGAAAACCUGACCUAUGCUGAGCUGGAGCUGAUCAAACCACACCAGGCAGCCAAAGGCGUUCCCACCAGCACCGUGUAUGCACAGAUCCUCUUUGAGGAGAACAAGGUGUAACACUUCCUCUUCUGUGGCAGUGUCACCUCGGCCACUCAGUUAUUUAUGAAACCUCAGAAACAAAGCCCCUAUUUUUGUACUUUCACUUGUGCCUUCUGUGUGGUGGGGAGCCCCUUCCCAACUGUGUUCCAGUGCCUUUGAAGAGGUAUGAGGCUGCUCUCCCCAUGGAAUAAGGACCACAGCCCUCAGACAAGUCUCCCAGGACCAGCGGUCCCAGGCCUGACCCUGAGGUAUAAGGACUCUGCUUAUGAGAGUGCCCAAGGACAUUGUCUGCUGAGCCAACCCCAUCACCUUUCCCUGGGUUUUAAUUUGUUAAAAUCUUUCUUUAAGAUCUUAAUCUUCCUAUGAACCCUUCCUGUGUCUGUGAGCCCCAGUUCAAUGCUACAGGAAAUGCCAUUAGAGGUGGUGUAUAUGGUUUUUCUAAGGAGUCCAGGACAUUGCCAGGGCACCCAGAGCACCACAGGCCACUGAUGGCAAGCAGCCGUGUAUGAUGGCAUCCAUUGUUUUAAAUAGAUGCUCUUAUCCUGCAAUGGAAGGGCAAGGAUGGUGGGAAUCUGAGGUCCAUCUCUGAAAACUCUGGUACCCCUCUUCCCACCCAUGAUUCCCCAAUGCCAUAGGUCUAGAAGGGCACCAUUCUAAAGUACUGCCCCCUCAGCAGAGCAGACCUAGAUGGAUAGAGAAAUAUACUGCUCACCCUUUUCCAAAGAAGUGAGUUUGCCACCAAUGGACACACGGGGAAGAAAGUGAGCCUCUUCAAAAUGUGCUGGACUUGGCCGACUUGCACUGAAUGCCCACUCGUGGGAAAGCAGUUUUUCACCAGGUUCCCUCAGGGUAGGAGAAGCUAAAGUAUGAGCCACACUGGAAGCACGUGUCAUGAAAACCCUACUUUUGUCAAGUGCCUUGCGCAUCUCAACCUUGGAUGUGAAUUCUAGUGGGCUUGGGUGGACAUCAGGGCCGCGCAGGACAUAAAUAUAUGGGGAGAUUGCUCUGUGGAUCUGUACAGGGACCUUGGACUCGCAGAAGUGGAUCCGUUCUGCAAGCGUCAUCCUGCGGCUGUUAGGUGUGUUGCUGAUGUGUGGUGUUCUAUGGGUCGCCACUUACUGCACACUAUAGGAGUCGUUUGGCUAUGUAAUGGACCAUAUAUAUGUGAUAAAUUAUCUAUCUGGGUGUGAGUUGUACCCCUCUAUAUCUUUGUGUGACUUUGGUUGAGUUUCUUACCUCCUAAUAGCCUCAGACAUGUAUGUGUGUAAAGGUGACUUAACAUCUCGUACAAUUCUUGAGGGUAAGAUUGGGUAAAGACUAUUGCCAGAGUCUGAAAACUAUAAAUUGCUAUGCAAAUAUCCUUGUUUGACAUUCAUGGUAAAACCAUCUGCAUUUCCAAAAUGAAGAUUUCCGAGGCUUUUAUUGUGAUGGCUUUUUCCCCAGGGCUGGGGAUUUGACCCACGGCUUGUGCAUGCUAAGUAAGCACCCUACCUCAGAGCCACAUCCCUAGGCCUGCAAUAACUUUUGGUCCACAACUAACCCUAUAGUAAAGGUCCCAAAGACUCAUGAUGCCUUAGGAGUACCUCGUGGUUUAUUGGAAAGGAUCCAAAUGGAAGCAGAUAUUGGCUUCCUGUGUGCAAAAAUGGUCCUCCUUUUACAAAGUGGAAGUUCAACUUUUCUGGAUGACCCCUGCAUCUCAUUCCCUCUCCCUCUGCCAGAUCUGAAAGGCAAUGAACAUAACACACAGUUUUUGAGGAAGAAAUACUAUUUGGAAGAACACUAGUGUGAGUCCUCUUUCGUGAGAAUAUGUGGUUUACACACGACUUGUAUUAUAAUUACCAUAAGGAACAUUUUAUUCUGCCAUGGCAGUGUUCCAGC
Castor canadensis (American beaver) is the source of this 2424-nucleotide non-coding RNA. Lineage: Eukaryota; Metazoa; Chordata; Mammalia; Rodentia; Castoridae. The record is from RefSeq and is a predicted model, not a curated record.